UCCUUGUUAGCUCAGUUGGUAGAGCGUUCGGCUUUUAACCGAGAUGUCAGGGGUUCGAGCCCCCUAUGAGGAG
RNAcentral lists this transfer RNA (73 nucleotides) under Saccharomyces cerevisiae YJM1419. Its description in RNAcentral is "tRNA-Lys". It matches the Rfam family "tRNA". Rfam says of the family: Transfer RNA (tRNA) molecules are approximately 80 nucleotides in length. Their secondary structure includes four short double-helical elements and three loops (D, anti-codon, and T loops). Lineage: Eukaryota; Fungi; Ascomycota; Saccharomycetes; Saccharomycetales; Saccharomycetaceae. The record is from RNAcentral.